AGCCGCGCGCUGCGUCCGCCCCCAGCAGCCUUCGUCCUCGCUUUUUGCGAAUAUAAUUUGUACGAAAGACACAGCUGACCACUUCCAGUACAUUUUUAUUAAUAUACAGAAGACAUUCGACACUGAGACCGACACUCUGCAGUCAGUGAGUGACCAGGAAAGAGUUGACUUCAGGGGAAACAAUUGCACAGAUUUUUAGCCUCGCUAGUCACUGCCUGCAGCAGUAAUCGGAAGAGCGCCUGUUCUCGCCCGCCAUCAGCCUCCAGAGAUUCUAUGAGGGGCUCUGUGGGUCUUCACACUUACAAUGAAAAAGAAAAAGGUGGCCUUACGUCUAUAAUUUACGCGUGAGCUGUCACGAGCGGAGAGCUCCCUUAGCUGUCGGCCAAAUAUUGAGCUGGAGAGACACAGAAGACACUUCACCGGGCAGACAAGAAGGAAAAGUAAAAGGACUCCUCUUCUAUAACAACUGUGGAAAAAAAACACACACAGGCUGAUUCAGAUGAUUCUGAUCCAUCCAGUUCCAGGUCUAUGGAAAUGCAGGAUCUAGCCAGUCCACCCAGCCGAGUCAGUGGAAGCAGCGAUUCCCCUAAUGGUCCAAGCCUUGACAACCAGCAUAUCAAUAACAAUUCCAUCACUCCAAAUGGCACUGAAGGUGAUAACAUCACUAUGCUUACCACAGCGGACUGGUUGUUAAGUUCUAGUACACAGACCGCUGCAGUUAAAACAGAGCCAAUGAGCAGCAGCGAGAUUGCCACCUCUGCAGGCAACGGAUCUCUAGACAGCUUCUCAGGAUCAGCUAUUGGACCCAGUGGCUUCAGCCCAAGACAAACUCACCAGUUUCCCCCCCAGAUCUAUCCGUCCAACAGACCUUAUCCGCAUAUUCUUCCAACUCCUUCAUCUCAAAACAUGGCGGCAUACGGCCAGCCCCAGUACAGCACGGGUAUGCAGCAGGCCACAGCAUACGCCACCUACCCUCAGCCAGGCCAGCCCUAUGGAAUCCCAGCCUAUGGUCCGUUGUGGGCAGGCAUCAAGACGGAGGGAGGCCUGGCACAGGCCCAAUCACCGGGCCAGACGGGCUUCUUGAGCUAUAGCUCCGGCUUCACCACACCUCAGACGGGACAGGCACCCUACAGCUACCAAAUGCAAGGGGGCAGUUUUACAACAACAUCGGGACUGUAUGCUGGAAGCAAUUCCCUCACAAAUUCCACUGGAUUUAACAGCCAGCAACAGGAAUAUCCCUCCUACCCUGCCUUUGGCCAGGGUCAGUACACGCAGUAUUAUAGCAACUCACCGUACACCUCCCCGUACAUGACAAGCAACAACACAAGCCCAACCACGCCCUCCACCACAGCCACUUACACAUUACAGGAGCCUCCAUCUGGCAUCACCAGCCAAGCUAUCACAGACCCCCAAGCAGGAGAGUACAGUACAAUCCACAGUCCGUCAACUCCCAUUAAAGAUUCAGAUUCGGAUCGAUUGCGUCGCGUUUCGGACGGAAAGUCACGUGGCCGGGGGAGACGGAACAACAACCCGUCGCCGCCUCCUGACUCUGACCUUGAGCGAGUUUUCAUCUGGGAUUUAGAUGAAACCAUCAUCGUUUUCCACUCUUUGCUCACAGGAUCCUACGCCAACAGAUUUGGACGGGAUCCACCUACAUCUGUGUCACUGGGCCUUAGGAUGGAGGAAAUGAUUUUCAAUCUGGCAGACACACAUCUGUUUUUCAAUGACUUAGAAGAAUGCGACCAGGUCCACAUUGAUGACGUGUCCUCCGAUGACAAUGGCCAGGACCUCAGCACGUACAACUUCAGCACAGAUGGCUUCCACGCAGCAGCCACAAGCGCCAACCUCUGCCUGGCCACGGGUGUGCGGGGAGGGGUGGACUGGAUGAGGAAGCUGGCCUUCCGCUACCGACGAGUAAAAGAGAUCUACACCACCUACAAAAACAAUGUUGGAGGUCUUCUUGGUCCAGCCAAAAGGGAAGCUUGGUUACAGCUGCGAGCAGAAAUUGAAGCCCUGACAGACUCCUGGUUAACACUGGCACUGAAAGCACUAACAUUAAUCCACUCUAGGUCAAACUGUGUUAACAUUUUAGUCACAACCACGCAACUUAUACCCGCCCUUGCGAAAGUCCUGCUGUACGGACUGGGGAUCGUGUUUCCUAUCGAGAAUAUUUAUAGUGCUACAAAAAUCGGAAAAGAAAGCUGUUUUGAAAGGGUAAUCCAGAGGUUCGGGAGGAAAGUUGUUUACAUUGUUGUGGGAGACGGCGUGGAAGAGGAGCAGGGUUCUAAAAAGCACAACAUGCCCUUCUGGAGGAUUUCCAGCCACUCGGACCUCAUGGCUCUCCACCACGCCCUAGAACUGGACUACUUGUAGCAACCCACCCGCCACCCCGAGUCCAAAUGCCCACACACACCCCUUCUUUUUACCCUCCUCUAUCGCGAAGCACGCUCGCCACAGACCUCACAGCAGACACAGUGACACAGUGUCCCACCCGAAAUGGAGCGGCCACACCCGAGCGCGUCGACACAGCGGCCACAGUUCGUCUUAACCCUCGACCUUUUUCUAAAACGGAAGAGACUGAAAUUUAUGGCAGCGCAGCUGCUGGCCCCGGUUACUGUGAAUUGGCUGCUUUAGAAAGCCAUCAAAAUGUUUUAUAGCCUUGUCUGUGCCGCGCCUCAGCAAGGGUUCACACCUGUGAAGAAACGAGAGCUACCGAUGCGUCAGAACCUCACCGGACCCGAGUCUCUCCGCCCCCUUGGUCUCACCUCAGUAGUACAAAGACUGCAGGGCUCGCCGGCUCCCUGCAGAGGCUCCCAUCAGGACGGUGCUGCCUCGGAUAUCCACUGCUUAUUUAAGAGCUGGGGGCAUGCGACUCGCAGCGUCCCACGAAAGAACUAUAUAAGAAGUAUCCCAAGAUAAAGGACCGAAGAUCAAUAGGUCACAGCCCCGAAUCCUGUAAUCCAUGCAGUUUGGAAGUUCUGAAGUUAUAUAUGCUGAAAAAGGCUAUGAUCAUGAAAUAUGGCAUUUCACAGAAAAAUAAAUCCGUCAUCCUUUCACCACCUACUGUCUGCUUUGUAACCAGUGUAACUGCUAUUUGAACUAAGCAAGGUUAAACUUCAGCCUUGUUAGGGGAAAAAAGGCUCAGAGUACUUUUUAUUACCUUUUUUUUUUUUUUUUUUACAAGCGCUAAAACAAACUUGUACAACAAUUGUUUUUUAUGACUUAGUAUUUUUAAAAAGUCAUUUUAAUUUUGAGUUUAAAAUCAUAGUUGUUGUCCACUUUGAUUGCCGUAGCUUAAAUUAAUAGUACCUUGUUCAUAAUUCUAACUUCACGUGGACUUGGUUGAUCGUGGAUUUUGAACCUCGAGGCCGAGAACACACAUAUACACACACACACACACACACACACACACACACACAUAUACAACUGCGCUGUCAACUGUGAAUUUCCUUUAUGUUGAAUUUAGCCGACCCGUCCACAGUUCUCUCUCCCAAAACCUGUUCAGUGUAGCUGGUAUGUGUCUGUGGGGCCUCUCAGUAGCGUCGCCUAGCAAAUCGCACCAGACUCUCCACAAAUCUGCAAUUUUACUGCUCUGAAACCACCCCCCCCCCGU
RNA transcript from Scleropages formosus (Asian bonytongue), 3613 nucleotides. It is a transcript of the gene named EYA transcriptional coactivator and phosphatase 1, with no coding region annotated. The transcript is spliced from 22 exons. The record is from RefSeq and is a predicted model, not a curated record. Lineage: Eukaryota; Metazoa; Chordata; Actinopteri; Osteoglossiformes; Osteoglossidae.